This 274-nucleotide long non-coding RNA is filed under the name Lathyrus oleraceus (garden pea). Its description in RNAcentral is "Pisum sativum (pea) long non-coding RNA (PSAT_LNC029487)". Lineage: Eukaryota; Viridiplantae; Streptophyta; Magnoliopsida; Fabales; Fabaceae. The record is from RNAcentral.
GCAAAAGAGGUAGCAUGCUUCAUGGUUUGGUAAAAAACAUAGGACCCAAAGUCAAACUUGGUUUUGGUUCCUACAAUGUAAAUAAACUUACUCAACCCUGUAGCAAUGUUGGAAGUGUGAUUUGUUGGGACCCAAUUAGCAGCUUCAAUUAUAUGAAGUACUGCAUACUUCACACUCAAGAAACUCGCUGAAAACUUCCCUUUUCUUGGUCAUUCCCUUACCUGUUUUGCAGUAAUUUCCCUACAAAUGACAUUAUCAGAAACCUCCACUUCAG